GUGCAGCCCUUUGGGGUUCAGGUGACUGAGUGUGGGAAGCCUUUGUCAUAGGGUAAAAGUAGAAUACCCCUGGGCUGUAGGCUGCACACCUUGGGUCAAAUAUUAGAUUCUGUAGCUGUGUAUUUCAUCAAAACAGUUCUGUUCUACAAUGGUUAAUUUCCUUGGCUCAGGGUUGUUUUGCCUAUUGAUGGCAGCUGUGGGCAUACAAGCACAACAGACGCCUUCUAUAAAUGACCUGAAUGCCUUGGUAACGUUAUUCGUCUGAGUGUAGCUCCUCUUUUUGAAGAGGUCGACGCUGUCUUCAAUGACACACAAAUCAUAAACCUGACACCUGGCCUUGCUACUCAGUGUGGAUUCAGCUUUAAAUUUGACCCAAUGGGGAAUGCCAUAUUUUUUGCUUCUCUUCAAAACUGCUUUUCCCAGACCAUGGAUGAUAAGAUGUUCAGCUUGGUCAUGCAGUUCAGGCUGCCAGGAAAC
This is a non-coding RNA of Salmo salar (Atlantic salmon), 477 nucleotides long. The record is from RefSeq and is a predicted model, not a curated record. NCBI's taxonomy places the organism in Eukaryota, Metazoa, Chordata, Actinopteri, Salmoniformes, Salmonidae.